This 664-nucleotide ribosomal RNA is filed under the name uncultured archaeon. RNAcentral describes it as "bacterial SSU rRNA". It matches the Rfam family "Archaeal small subunit ribosomal RNA", at positions 690 to 1353 of the family's 1478-position model. The record is from RNAcentral.
UCCGACGGUGAGGGGCGAAUGCUGGGGGCGCAAACCGGAUUAGAUACCCGGGUAGUCCCAGCAGUAAACGAUGCCAGCUAUGUGUUGCUGGAACCAUGGGUUCCAGCAGUGCCGAAGGGAAGCCGUGAAGCUGGCCACCUGGGAAGUACGGUCGCAAGGCUGAAACUUAAAGGAAUUGGCGGGGGAGUACCACAACCGGUGGAGCCUGCGGUUUAAUUGGAUACAACGCCGGGAAUCUUACCGGAGGGGACAGCAGUAUGAAGGCCAGGCUAAAGACCUUGCCAGAUCAGCUGAGAGGAGGUGCAUGGCCGUCGCCAGUUCGUACCGUGAGGCAUCCUGUUUAGUCAGGCAACGAUCGAGACCCGCAGUCUUAUUUGCCAGUAUGCCCUUUGGGGUGUAUGGGUACAAUAAGACGACCGCCAGCGCUAAGCUGGAGGAAGGAGCGGGCUACGGUAGGUCAGCAUGCCCCGAAUCCUCCGGGAUACACGCGGGCUACAAUGGUCAGGACAAAAGGUACCGACCUCGAAAGAGUGAGGUAAUCCACAAACCUGAUCUCAGUCCGGAUCGAAGGCUGCAACUCGCCUUCGUGAAGAUGGAAUCGGUAGUAAUCGUGACUCAAAAUGUCACGGUGAAUAUGGCCCUGCUCCUUGCACACGACGGCCGU